GAGGGUGUAGCUCAAGUGGUAGAGCACAUGCUUAGGAUGCAUGAGGUCCUUGGUUCAACCACCAGUACCUCCA
Molecule: transfer RNA, 73 nt
Filed under: Camelus bactrianus (Bactrian camel)
Lineage: Eukaryota; Metazoa; Chordata; Mammalia; Artiodactyla; Camelidae
Also listed under: 1 other name
Rfam family: tRNA
About the family: Transfer RNA (tRNA) molecules are approximately 80 nucleotides in length.
Source: Rfam by way of RNAcentral